UGCGUAGGUGGUUGCGUAAGUUAAUUGUGAAAGUCCUGGGCUUAACCUGGGGAUUGCAGUUAAUACUGCGUGACUAGAGUGUUGUAGAGGUAAGCGGAAUUUCCGGUGUAGCGGUGAAAUGCGUAGAUAUCGGAAGGAACAUCGAUGGCGAAGGCAGCUUUCUGGACAAAUACUGACACUGAGGCACGAAAGCGUGGGGAGCAAACAGGAUUAGAUACCCUGGUAGUCCACGCCGUAAACGAUGAGAACUGGCUGUUGGGUGCGCGAGCACUGAGUAGCGAAGCAAACGCGUUAAGUUCUCCGCCUGGGGAGUACGGCCGCAAGGUUAAA
RNAcentral lists this ribosomal RNA (330 nucleotides) under uncultured bacterium. Its description in RNAcentral is "bacterial SSU rRNA". It matches the Rfam family "Bacterial small subunit ribosomal RNA", at positions 568 to 898 of the family's 1533-position model. The record is from RNAcentral.